GACGUAGGGCGCGAGCGUUGUCCGGAUUUAUUGGGCGUAAAGAGCUCGUAGGCGGCUUGUCGCGUCGACUGUGAAAAACCACGACUCAACCGUGGGACUGCAGUCGAUACGGGCAGGCUAGAGUUCGGUAGGGGAGACUGGAAUUCCUGGUGUAGCGGUGAAAUGCGCAGAUAUCAGGAGGAACACCGGUGGCGAAGGCGGGUCUCUGGGCCGAUACUGACGCUGAGGAGCGAAAGCGUGGGGAGCGAACAGG
RNAcentral lists this ribosomal RNA (253 nucleotides) under uncultured bacterium. RNAcentral's name for it is "partial 16S ribosomal RNA". It matches the Rfam family "Bacterial small subunit ribosomal RNA", at positions 524 to 776 of the family's 1533-position model. The record is from RNAcentral.